UCUAAAUAUUUUUGUGUUAUAGCUAGUUUGGACUACAAAAACAAGGUGCGCAGACAAUGUGCUGAAUAAAAACAAACACUCUUUUGCAGUCUGGCUGGCUUGGCUCAGUGCAGUGAAAGGUAGCUUUCCUUGGCUACGUCUUAUUUCCAUCUUUUAGCCUUUUAAAUAAUGGCUGCAACUAUAAAAUCUUCUUUUGGAAGUAUUAUAAAGAACCAGGGUAACACAUUUCGCAUUCUGUACCGUAAUCUUUCAUCAACAGCAACAUAUUAUCAGCAAAAUUUAGAAACUCAAGAAGGCCAGGACCAGCUUCAGAAACAAAAAUUAAGAAAUGAAGACGCUGGUAGCUUUACUGAGUUAGUGAGAGAUUUCCUUGAUCCUUCAGAAUUUCAUAGUGCAGUGCGUAAGCAAGGAAUUGAUUUUUUUUGUGGUGUUCCAGACUCUUUGCUCAAGGAUUACUGUGCUUAUGUGACUGCCACUGAGCCAAGUCAUAGUCAUGUCAUUACAGCAAAUGAAGGAUCGGCAGUUGCACUUGCUGCAGGCUACCAUUUGUCGUCAGGAAAAACUGGAAUGGUGUAUUUACAGAAUUCUGGUCUUGGCAACAUUGUCAAUCCUGUGAUGUCUUUAGCAUCUACAAGUGUUUAUAGUAUUCCUAUGUUAAUACUUUUGGGUUGGCGAGGUGAACCAGGCAAACGGGAUGAACCACAGCAUGUAACACAAGGAAAAGCUACUCCUGGACUCUUAGCUGCUUGUGGGAUCCCUUUUCAAGUUCUUCCUGAUUUUAUUGAGGGAGCUGAACAGGCAUUGUACACUGCGCGAAAACACAUGGAAGUGUCGAAAGGGCCGUACUGUUUACUUGUGAAAAGACAAACUUUUCUACCGUAUAAGUUUGAACAAACCCAAACAAGUUUCAGUGACUUACCCUUGAAUAGAGAAGGUGCGAUCCAGCACGUCGUGAAACAGUUACACGACCGAGAUGUUGUAGUCGGUACAACGGGCAUGUUAAGUCGAGAAUUAUUCGAGUUACGCGAAGGGAAUGGACAAGGUCACGAGAAAGAUUUCUUAACAGUUGGUAGUAUGGGACAUGCUUCAGCUAUUGCUCUUGGCGUAGCUAUGCAGAAGACGAGAAGAGAGGUUUUUUGUUUGGAUGGUGACGGAGCAGCCAUUAUGCAUUUGGGAAAUCUCUCCACGAUCGGUGCGUCUGGUUUGGUGAAUUACAAACACAUUGUUAUAAAUAAUGGCGCGCAUGAUUCGGUGGGUGGGCAGCCGACGGAUGCAAGAGAUGUUAAUACUUUCAAUAUAUGUAAUGUCGCCCUCAGUCUAGGAUAUAAACAGGCUCUUUCUGCAAGUACUCCUGAAGAGAUUGAAGAAAGUGUUUCAGCUAUGAGAACAAUGCAAGGGCCAGUUCUACUGGAAAUAAAAGUUCGAAGAGGUAGCCGUAAAGAUUUGGGACGACCAACAAGAUCACCGUUGCAGAACAAAGCAGACUUCAUGCAUUUUUUAGCCAUCGAAUAGAUGGACCGCUGUCACGGUAGCCGGGAAGCAAAGUUAAAAUGAAAUGGGACGUGUGAUUAAAAUAAAUAAGAAAUUGUUUUUGAUUUAAAGGUUACGAUACCUUGAACUUUUGUUACAAUUACAACACAGGUGAAAAAAGUUUAAAGACAAAAAGAAAACGCGAAGUUACAGAACACAGUAAUACUGAUACCCUACGAUCCAUCUCAAAAUCGUAGCGAAAAAAAUAAUCCCUAGCUUAGCUUAUCGUAUCGUGUAGUAUCGAUGUAUUGUCACACGAUAAUUCAAUAAUUUAAAACGGCAAA
This is an RNA transcript of Hydractinia symbiolongicarpus, 1814 nucleotides long. It is a transcript of the gene named phosphonopyruvate decarboxylase-like, with no coding region annotated. NCBI's taxonomy places the organism in Eukaryota, Metazoa, Cnidaria, Hydrozoa, Anthoathecata, Hydractiniidae. The record is from RefSeq and is a predicted model, not a curated record. The transcript has 10 exons.